RNAcentral lists this ribosomal RNA (2405 nucleotides) under Shigella flexneri. RNAcentral describes it as "partial 23S ribosomal RNA". It matches the Rfam family "Bacterial large subunit ribosomal RNA", at positions 552 to 2925 of the family's 2925-position model. Lineage: Bacteria; Pseudomonadati; Pseudomonadota; Gammaproteobacteria; Enterobacterales; Enterobacteriaceae. The record is from RNAcentral.
GAAACCGUGUACGUACAAGCAGUGGGAGCACGCUUAGGCGUGUGACUGCGUACCUUUUGUAUAAUGGGUCAGCGACUUAUAUUCUGUAGCAAGGUUAACCGAAUAGGGGAGCCGAAGGGAAACCGAGUCUUAACUGGGCGUUAAGUUGCAGGGUAUAGACCCGAAACCCGGUGAUCUAGCCAUGGGCAGGUUGAAGGUUGGGUAACACUAACUGGAGGACCGAACCGACUAAUGUUGAAAAAUUAGCGGAUGACUUGUGGCUGGGGGUGAAAGGCCAAUCAAACCGGGAGAUAGCUGGUUCUCCCCGAAAGCUAUUUAGGUAGCGCCUCGUGAAUUCAUCUCCGGGGGUAGAGCACUGUUUCGGCAAGGGGGUCAUCCCGACUUACCAACCCGAUGCAAACUGCGAAUACCGGAGAAUGUUAUCACGGGAGACACACGGCGGGUGCUAACGUCCGUCGUGAAGAGGGAAACAACCCAGACCGCCAGCUAAGGUCCCAAAGUCAUGGUUAAGUGGGAAACGAUGUGGGAAGGCCCAGACAGCCAGGAUGUUGGCUUAGAAGCAGCCAUCAUUUAAAGAAAGCGUAAUAGCUCACUGGUCGAGUCGGCCUGCGCGGAAGAUGUAACGGGGCUAAACCAUGCACCGAAGCUGCGGCAGCGACGCUUAUGCGUUGUUGGGUAGGGGAGCGUUCUGUAAGCCUGUGAAGGUGUGCUGUGAGGUAUGCUGGAGGUAUCAGAAGUGCGAAUGCUGACAUAAGUAACGAUAAAGCGGGUGAAAAGCCCGCUCGCCGGAAGACCAAGGGUUCCUGUCCAACGUUAAUCGGGGCAGGGUGAGUCGACCCCUAAGGCGAGGCCGAAAGGCGUAGUCGAUGGGAAACAGGUUAAUAUUCCUGUACUUGGUGUUACUGCGAAGGGGGGACGGAGAAGGCUAUGUUGGCCGGGCGACGGUUGUCCCGGUUUAAGCGUGUAGGCUGGUUUUCCAGGCAAAUCCGGAAAAUCAAGGCCGAGGCGUGAUGACGAGGCACUACGGUGCUGAAGCAACAAAUGCCCUGCUUCCAGGAAAAGCCUCUAAGCAUCAGGUAACAUCAAAUCGUACCCCAAACCGACACAGGUGGUCAGGUAGAGAAUACCAAGGCGCUUGAGAGAACUCGGGUGAAGGAACUAGGCAAAAUGGUGCCGUAACUUCGGGAGAAGGCACGCUGAUACGUAGGUGAAGCGACUUGCUCGUGGAGCUGAAAUCAGUCGAAGAUACCAGCUGGCUGCAACUGUUUAUUAAAAACACAGCACUGUGCAAACACGAAAGUGGACGUAUACGGUGUGACGCCUGCCCGGUGCCGGAAGGUUAAUUGAUGGGGUUAGCGCAAGCGAAGCUCUUGAUCGAAGCCCCGGUAAACGGCGGCCGUAACUAUAACGGUCCUAAGGUAGCGAAAUUCCUUGUCGGGUAAGUUCCGACCUGCACGAAUGGCGUAAUGAUGGCCAGGCUGUCUCCACCCGAGACUCAGUGAAAUUGAACUCGCUGUGAAGAUGCAGUGUACCCGCGGCAAGACGGAAAGACCCCGUGAACCUUUACUAUAGCUUGACACUGAACAUUGAGCCUUGAUGUGUAGGAUAGGUGGGAGGCUUUGAAGUGUGGACGCCAGUCUGCAUGGAGCCGACCUUGAAAUACCACCCUUUAAUGUUUGAUGUUCUAACGUGGACCCGUGAUCCGGGUUGCGGACAGUGUCUGGUGGGUAGUUUGACUGGGGCGGUCUCCUCCUAAAGAGUAACGGAGGAGCACGAAGGUUGGCUAAUCCUGGUCGGACAUCAGGAGGUUAGUGCAAUGGCAUAAGCCAGCUUGACUGCGAGCGUGACGGCGCGAGCAGGUGCGAAAGCAGGUCAUAGUGAUCCGGUGGUUCUGAAUGGAAGGGCCAUCGCUCAACGGAUAAAAGGUACUCCGGGGAUAACAGGCUGAUACCGCCCAAGAGUUCAUAUCGACGGCGGUGUUUGGCACCUCGAUGUCGGCUCAUCACAUCCUGGGGCUGAAGUAGGUCCCAAGGGUAUGGCUGUUCGCCAUUUAAAGUGGUACGCGAGCUGGGUUUAGAACGUCGUGAGACAGUUCGGUCCCUAUCUGCCGUGGGCGCUGGAGAACUGAGGGGGGCUGCUCCUAGUACGAGAGGACCGGAGUGGACGCAUCACUGGUGUUCGGGUUGUCAUGCCAAUGGCACUGCCCGGUAGCUAAAUGCGGAAGAGAUAAGUGCUGAAAGCAUCUAAGCACGAAACUUGCCCCGAGAUGAGUUCUCCCUGACCCUUUAAGGGUCCUGAAGGAACGUUGAAGACGACGACGUUGAUAGGCCGGGUGUGUAAGCGCAGCGAUGCGUUGAGCUAACCGGUACUAAUGAACCGUGAGGCUUAACCUUACAACGCCGAAG